This 201-nucleotide ribosomal RNA is filed under the name uncultured bacterium. RNAcentral describes it as "partial 16S ribosomal RNA". It matches the Rfam family "Bacterial small subunit ribosomal RNA", at positions 1300 to 1500 of the family's 1533-position model. The record is from RNAcentral.
GUAGUCUGCAACCCGACUACAUGAAGCUGGAAUCGCUAGUAAUCGCGGAUCAGAAUGCCGCGGUGAAUACGUUCCCGGGUCUUGUACACACCGCCCGUCACACCAUGGGAGCCGGAAACGCCCGAAGUCAGUGGCCCAACCGGAAGGAGGGAGCUGCCGAAGGCAGGGCUGGUAACUGGGGUGAAGUCGUAACAAGGUAGC